UCCGAUAUGGUGUAACGGCUAACAUCGCCGCCUUUCAAAACAAAAGAUUUGACCGCGGCAGCUCGGGGUUCGAUUCCCCGUAUCGGAG
Transfer RNA from Aspergillus carbonarius ITEM 5010, 88 nucleotides. It matches the Rfam family "tRNA". Rfam says of the family: Transfer RNA (tRNA) molecules are approximately 80 nucleotides in length. Their secondary structure includes four short double-helical elements and three loops (D, anti-codon, and T loops). The record is from Rfam. NCBI's taxonomy places the organism in Eukaryota, Fungi, Ascomycota, Eurotiomycetes, Eurotiales, Aspergillaceae.